Molecule: ribosomal RNA, 484 nt
Filed under: uncultured bacterium
Lineage: Bacteria
Description: bacterial SSU rRNA
Rfam family: Bacterial small subunit ribosomal RNA
Source: RNAcentral
AAAUGAAUUGACGGGGGCCCGCACAAGCAGCGGAGCGUGUGGUUUAAUUCGACGCAACGCGCAACACCUUACCAGGGCUUGACGUCCACCGAAUCCUCCUGAAAGGGAGGAGUGCCUUCGGGAGCGGUGAGACAGGUGCUGCAUGGCUGUCGUCAGCUCGUGUCGUGAGAUGUUGGGUUAAGUCCCGCAACGAGCGCAACCCUCGUCGCUAGUUACCAUGGUGUGUCUAGCGAGACUGCCGGACCAAACCGGAGGAAGGUGGGGAUGACGUCAAGUCAGCAUGGCCCUUACGCCCUGGGCGACACACACGCUACAAUGGCCGGGACAGUGGGCUGCCAAGCGGUAACGCGGAGCCAAUCCCCCAAACCCGGUCUCAGUUCAGAUUGAGGGCUGCAACUCGCCCUCAUGAAGGCGGAGUUGCUAGUAACCGCGGAUCAGCAUUGCCGCGGUGAAUAUGUUCCCGGGCCUUGUACACACCGCCCGU